CAGGAGGCUCGUUGAGACCAGAAGAGCGGAGGCAGGGGAGUCACAGGGCAGGUCUGCAGGGCCACCAUCUUCCAAGCCCCUGCUUUGUUUCCUGAGAUGAGGCUCAUUUGUUUAUUCACUUAUGCAAAUAGUUUUUGAGUGCUUACUGUGUGUCAGCCACCAAGCUAGGCACUGGGGAUGGGGCCUGGGAUAAGAAGACAAUGUGGUCCUUGUAUGGCUGCACAGCUCACAGUCUAGUGGGAGAGGCCCUGUCUCCAAACAUAGUCACCAUGGGGUGACAUACACCUUUUGAAUGGACACAGUUCUAUCCAUAACAGGUAGCGUCUCCUAUGCACUGGGUACUGGGUACAAAACCAAAGCUGCCAGCCUUCUGAAGAUGUAGAUGGGAUAAUAGAGCUCUGAUGCUGCUUUUGUGAGCGUCCUCCUCCUUCACCAUGGACAGGAUCUGUGGGACUGUCAAUCAAGGUGUCCUGCCCAUCCCCCAGCCAAGAGGAGAACAGAGAGUAGGAGGCUCCUGGAACUCAAGUCUCCAGGGAAGUCACACGAAGACAGUGUCAGGGUGAACAUGACUCACCCACAAAAGCCCUGGCUAGGCUUAUGCUGUGGUUCCUGCUGCCUGGAUUCUUGCUGUCUUGUUCUGCUUGAGAUCUGGCUGGUCUGUUUUGUUUCAGUGCUUCCUUUGAUCUGUAAGCUUUGCCAAAUCCU
This is a long non-coding RNA of Neofelis nebulosa (Clouded leopard), 705 nucleotides long. RefSeq lists it as uncharacterized. Lineage: Eukaryota; Metazoa; Chordata; Mammalia; Carnivora; Felidae. The record is from RefSeq and is a predicted model, not a curated record. The transcript has 3 exons.